This is a long non-coding RNA of Cynoglossus semilaevis (tongue sole), 916 nucleotides long. RefSeq lists it as uncharacterized. NCBI's taxonomy places the organism in Eukaryota, Metazoa, Chordata, Actinopteri, Pleuronectiformes, Cynoglossidae. The record is from RefSeq and is a predicted model, not a curated record. The transcript has 5 exons.
AGCAGGAGGUUCCAUGUGGAAGACUCUGUGGGCGGAGCUUACAUUGGAAUUUCUAUUUUUUUUAACAGAAGGUUUAUAUUAAAAACUAAAAACUAGAGGUUGUUGUUCUGAUUUUAAGAAUCUGUUUCAAUUACAUCUUAAAAAGAGACUUUUAAACAAACAGAGAACAGAAGAAAUGCAGUAUAGGAAGCAAAGGAUUGUGGGUAAAUGAAUAAAUCACUACAAAAACUCAUGGUCGUGCAACCUUUCUUUAGUUUAACAUUUCACAGAUUCACGUCCGAAUUAACAGUUAGUUUGUUUGGGAAAAUAAAUAUUUUAAAAUAAACUUUUUUUUUUUUUCAUGAAACCAUGAUAAAGAGGUGUGUCAACACAGAAUAGUUUCUGACAGACGGCACUAAUCACUGGUGAGAAAUGAUGUCUGGAUCAGGUCGAAGCUGACGUUGACCUGUGGUCCUGAGAGGAGACUGUGAUUGAUGUCAAUACAAACACGUUUGGCGUCCAGCUCCUGCUUCGCAGCAGAAAAUAAAAGGGAACUCCCUGCAGCCUCCCCACCUUCAGCAAAAUUGACCAGAUUGGAGGCAGAACUGCUCAACAUGCAGCCUCAGCCCCGUGCACGAGUGUGAGGACUCACCAGGUUGCGCCUCCUGCUGUGAUUCACCACAGGUGUGCAGAUGAAAGUGCCGCUGUCGAGCGUGCACUUGUGUGUGUGCGUGCGUGUGCACACUCACACUGACACACACUGAGUGUUUGAAGUGGAAUCCUGCAGCUGAGCCCAGCACUGGACCUUCUUCUACUGCUGCUGCAGUUUGACAUCUGCUUAAAAUCCCUGGAGUUUCCAAUCCUGUGUUGUUGGACUGAGGCCGACUGGUCAUUUGGACUGAGACACAAAACUAUAAAACCUCAAGGACAGACAGGU